UAACUAGAUCACAGAGAUGUGAUGGAAAAUAGUUGAUGAGUUGUUUAAUUUUAAGAAUUUUUAUCUUAAUUAAGGAAGGAGUGAUUUCAAUGGCACAAGAUAUCAUUUCAACAAUCGGUGACUUAGUAAAAUGGAUUAUCGACACAGUGAACAAAUUCACUAAAAAAUAAGAUGAAUAAUUAAUUACUUUCAUUGUAAAUUUGUUAUCUUCGUAUAGUACUAAAAGUAUGAGUUAUUAAGCCAUCCCAACUUAAUAACCAUGUAAAAUUAGCAAGUGAGUAACAUUUGCUAGU
RNAcentral lists this unclassified non-coding RNA (293 nucleotides) under Staphylococcus aureus subsp. aureus USA300_TCH1516. RNAcentral describes it as "RNAIII". It matches the Rfam family "RNAIII", at positions 1 to 276 of the family's 504-position model. Rfam says of the family: This family represents RNAIII which is known to regulate the expression of many Staphylococcus aureus genes encoding exoproteins and cell wall associated proteins. In S.aureus, RNAIII acts as the effector of the agr system and is transcribed from the P3 operon. The record is from RNAcentral. Lineage: Bacteria; Bacillati; Bacillota; Bacilli; Caryophanales; Staphylococcaceae.